RNAcentral lists this ribosomal RNA (497 nucleotides) under uncultured bacterium. Its description in RNAcentral is "partial 16S ribosomal RNA". It matches the Rfam family "Bacterial small subunit ribosomal RNA", at positions 28 to 507 of the family's 1533-position model. The record is from RNAcentral.
GAUGAACGCUGGCGGCGUGCCUAAUACAUGCAAGUCGAGCGAACAGACGAGGAGCUUGCUCCUCUGACGUUAGCGGCGGACGGGUGAGUAACACGUGGAUAACCUACCUAUAAGACUGGGAUAACUUCGGGAAACCGGAGCUAAUACCGGAUAAUAUAUUGAACCGCAUGGUUCAAUAGUGAAAGACGGUUUUGCUGUCACUUAUAGAUGGAUCCGCGCCGCAUUAGCUAGUUGGUAAGGUAACGGCUUACCAAGGCGACGAUGCGUAGCCGACCUGAGAGGGUGAUCGGCCACACUGGAACUGAGACACGGUCCAGACUCAUACGGGAGGCAGCAGUAGGGAAUCUUCCGCAAUGGGCGAAAGCCUGACGGAGCAACGCCGCGUGAGUGAUGAAGGUCUUCGGAUCGUAAAACUCUGUUAUUAGGGAAGAACAAAUGUGUAAGUAACUAUGCACGUCUUGACGGUACCUAAUCAGAAAGCCACGGCUAACUACGUG